CACUGAUUUAGAUUGAAUAGUGGUUCGGUUAAUUCUCCUUUUCCCCAAACAAGGCAAGAACAUUAAAGAUAAAGGGAAACUAUAAACAAAAGAGAUUAUCAUCAAAAAUAGAUUUACAGACGUCAACAAAGCCUAAAUGGUCAGACAUCUUGGUUUUCAUGAUCAUCAUUCAACAGGUCAAUACUGAACAGAAAACUUGAAGUUGAUAUUUUCUACAUAGUGUGACUUUUUUAUUAAUUUGAAAUGGAAUGUGUUUUUUUCCUACAUAAGAAAGAGGAAAUUUCAACAUAAUGACUAUAAACAAAAAGGUGUCAUAUUAUCAUGAUCAUAGAUGCACAAGAACUAAAUCAUGUAAAUGCAACAACGUAAUUAUCAAUUGAAAGAAGGGAGGAAUGAAAAAGUAUAUUAGUAUUUUGUUGUCCAAAUGAACUUGCUUUGUCCACUCAUUUAAAUCGCUCCAUCCAAUAAAGAUGUACGGAGGAAGAUUUUUGAAGAACAGAUUGCAAAAAUGUUUUGUCUAAGAAUUGUAGGAAUAUUCUAGUGGAUGAAAUAAUUUAUUUACUUGACUCUUAUAUAGUGGACUGAAUAAUUGUACAUAGCAAGCUGAAACAAGAAAACUAAAACUUAACAGGAAAAGUGUUUAUUUUAUAAAUUUGCAAAUAUAAACGUAAUAUUAUGAACACCACAAAGGUAUAAGAUUCAAAUCGUUUGCAUAUUCAUGUAUUGCAAUAGA
Long non-coding RNA from Mytilus californianus (California mussel), 733 nucleotides. RefSeq lists it as uncharacterized. The transcript is spliced from 3 exons. The record is from RefSeq and is a predicted model, not a curated record. Lineage: Eukaryota; Metazoa; Mollusca; Bivalvia; Mytilida; Mytilidae.